CUUAUUUAAUCUUCAUCCAGCCAACAGUUCCAAGUAGGUCCGUGAUGUUACUUUGAAGAGAAGCUGCACGAGCCGUGGAACGAAAAAAAAAAAGACACGAAAAAAGUGUCGCUGCUUAACUACUGAAAGUGUUCCGGGAGGAGGGAACUUGUGGCGGUAAUGCACCAACCGCCAUAAAACAUCAAAAAAGAACGAGGGAACUUUAGAAAAAUAAGAGAAAAAUAAGAGAAAACUCCCGCCGCGUGACGUCAGACGCCGAAAAGGUGACCGCGUGGCAGCAAGGCGCUCCAGGAUGGCGUGUUCGGCCUGGUCCAGAUUGGUGACCCGUCCAGAAUGGAACAACCUGCUUCCUGCUCACAGAGACCUGGUCUGACCCGUCAUAUACACAUGCCUGAGGCUGUCAAAAAAAAGAUUGAUCUUCAUGAAGAUCGUCAAAUAGUAAGGUGUGAUGAUUAAAUUCUGGGUGGCCGCUGUGUCCCCACUCUUUCUUGGCCGCUGUGCCUACAUCUCUCUCUCUGCAUUGUCCAACAUGGCCACGUUCUUUCUCUUCUCCUGCUUUCCAUCUGUCAAAUAGCUGAGGGUUGUACAUGGAGCAUUUGCCACAGGUUGGUUUUGUAUGUUUCGGUCCACUUUGUUGUGUGGUCUGUAAAUCUGGUCCUUGUUGGUUAUAUUUUUGUGGAACUGCUGAGUGAGUGAUUUGAAAGAAUGAGGUGACUGAUGGAGUGUUUGAGAUUCUCUCUCUGAAUGACUGUGUUGUGUGUGACUGAGAUGCCUGGAUUGAAUAGUUAAGAUGGUGUGAGAAUAUGAUUAUGUUCAGCAGUUCACAUUAAAGUAGAUCUGGUGUCUUGAAGGGCUUAGAUGCUUGAUAAGUUAUAAUGCACUAACAUUUCCUUUUUAGGUCCGUCUACAAAGGGUGAGUCCAUAUUUUUUUAUGUCUUCUCUGGGGGGGGGCUACCUUCUUGCCCUCCAUGUGUGCUAGGGUUUGCAGAGUAGGGGAAUAAACAAAAGAACAAAAAGAAUCUAGUCUGGCUGCUCACAGCUAACUACUGAAUCAAACUGACAAUUUACAUGCAAAGGUAAGAACACGCCUCUCUAUGGAGGUGUUUUCUUGCCCUUUAACCCCUUUUUCUUUCCACCUGUUUCUUAGGACGGUAAGUGACACACAGGCCGCGGGCCAUCGCUCUUCCGGCCGCCGUGUCGAUCUGUCCUGGCCCUCCUCGUGCCUUUCCUCACUUCUUAAAGAAAAAAAAAUCAACUAAAAUAUAGUUAUGUUGGAGGACCAGAUCUUAAAUGAGGUUUAAAUAGAUGUUGGUGUACAGUUAAAGCUAGAUGGUAGGAAUACAGUUAAUGUUGUGCCUUGUACGCUCUGUCACAAGGUUUAGACUUCUUGGCCGCUGUGCCUUUUUUUUUUUUUCUUUUUCUCUUCUCCAUCGUGGCCAUUAAUCUACCGUUAGCCCUAGAACGUUAAAGUAGAUCCUGGUGAUCUACAAAUAUAGUACCUGGCUUUAGAUGGCAGCUGUGCCAUAGCCUUAGUAUGGCCAUUACGUCCUUUAAUGCAAGUAUGCCAUGAUCGCUAACUGUGCCCGCGCCUUCGUGAUCUACUUGUGUUCUUGUACGUGUGGCCUUGCGCGUAUAGUCAUCUUACAUAGACAAACAUGGGUGCCUUCCGCGUCCAUGCACAGUAAGUCAACUAACCUGUACUUUUCUUCUAGCAUCAGUCAAGAGGAGCACCGACAUCCCUGCAUGUCCAUCUUAAUUAGAUUGCGUUUUAGUUACAAUAAAAUUUCAAAUGGUAAGGGCAGUUUAUCUUUCUUUCUUUCUUGCUUGGCCGCCGUGCCAUUACUAUAUCUAUCUAUAUUACUAUACCUGCUCUGACCUGAGUCUUCAUUCUUCAUGGCCACUGUGUCAUGACUCUACUUGGUCUUGGUGUUUAUGCCAGUCUAUCAUUUCUGAUCUGUUUUUCCUACUGUGUGUGUGUGUGCGUGUGUGUGUGUGUGUGUGUGU
Molecule: long non-coding RNA, 2004 nt
Organism: Solea solea (common sole)
Lineage: Eukaryota; Metazoa; Chordata; Actinopteri; Pleuronectiformes; Soleidae
Exons: 3
Source: RefSeq, a predicted model, not a curated record